UCUUAUUUUGUAUGUAAAUAAUUUUUUUUAAUUAGAAAUGAUGUUUCUUACAUUACAGAGAAUAAAAGUUUCGCGGUUAUUAUAGUUCUCCAUAAAGGACUUAGAAAAAGCAUCCCUCAUCCUAGGGAUGAAGAUCUAUAAAGAUAGAUCUAAAAAGUUGCUUAGGUUAUCCCAGUCCAACAUACAUAGAGUGUUUAUGAGUAGAAUUUAUUCUAUCAUGUAUACCAUGUAUGAGACUGAAUAUGGUAUACUCACUAGGAUAAUGAGUGGAUAUCUGCAAGAUCCGGAUGAGAAUCACUGGUAGGUUAUCCUUAAAUAUUUGAGAAAUACUAAGGACCAGUGAUUCAGUUACGGAGAAUCUAACUUAAAAACUUAUGGAGUAUAACUCUAAUUUUUAGUUGAACAUAAUAAUAACAAGAAUGUGUCGGAAUACAUUCUUAUCUUAAAUAAUAGAGCAAUCUGCUGAAAAGGUUCCAAGUAGAGCAAUAUAGCCAAAUUCAAAUUACGAGGC
Molecule: long non-coding RNA, 511 nt
Filed under: Elaeis guineensis (African oil palm)
Lineage: Eukaryota; Viridiplantae; Streptophyta; Magnoliopsida; Arecales; Arecaceae
Description: long non-coding RNA (EGUI_LNC057792)
Source: RNAcentral